RNAcentral lists this ribosomal RNA (783 nucleotides) under uncultured Neocallimastigales. RNAcentral's name for it is "partial large subunit ribosomal RNA". It matches the Rfam family "Eukaryotic large subunit ribosomal RNA", at positions 20 to 634 of the family's 3401-position model. The record is from RNAcentral. Lineage: Eukaryota; Fungi; Neocallimastigomycota; Neocallimastigomycetes; Neocallimastigales.
CAUCACUACGCUAGAUGCAUAUCAAUAAGCGGAGGAAAAGAAACUAACAAGGAUUCCCCUAGUAACGGCGAGUGAAGCGGGAAGAGCUCAAAUUUGAAAUCUUAAAAGGUUUUCCUUUUACGAAUUGUAGUUUAAAGAAGUGCUUUCUGUUGAAGUUUCGGUACAAGUUCUUUGGAAUAGGACAUCAUAGAGGGUGAGAAUCCCGUAUUUGACCUUAAUUUUUCAACUUUGUGAUACACUUUCAAAGAGUCGGAUUGUUUGGGAAUGCAGUCCAAAAUGGGUGGUAAAUUUCAUCUAAGGCUAAAUAUUGGCGAGAGACCGAUAGCGAACAAGUACCGUGAGGGAAAGAUGAAAAGAACUUUGAAAAGAGAGUUAAAUAGUACGUGAAAUUGUCAAAAGGGAAGCGUUUGGCACCAGUGUUGUUUUUCUAAAAAUCAAUUUAAAAUUUGCUUAUGUUAAGUGUUUUAGACUUAAUCGGCUAUACAUUUAAUUCUUUGUAAAUUUUGAAUGCACUUUUUAGUUAACAAGUCAACAUCAAUUUCUUUUGCUGUAAAAAAGCUUAAGAGGAAGGUGGCUUGAGAUUCGUCUUAAGUGUUUAUAGCCUCUUGCCUAUGCAGUCGGAGAGAUUGAGGUCUGCAGCAUAGAUCCUUCGGGGCUAGAUGCAUUUGUGCUAGAAGUUAUAGCUAUUAUAUAGACAACUUGUUGACUAUGUAAUUAGUCUUAGUCUUACUCGCUUAAGGUUAUUUUACCUACGCUUAGGAUGUUGAUCUACAGAGCGAGAGU